Molecule: long non-coding RNA, 210 nt
Organism: Rhipicephalus sanguineus (brown dog tick)
Lineage: Eukaryota; Metazoa; Arthropoda; Arachnida; Ixodida; Ixodidae
Exons: 3
Source: RefSeq, a predicted model, not a curated record
GCGCCAAGCAAAAGGACCACCUGGAACAACAGCAAGGGUGAGUGUGCCAUCGCAGAAUCGGUGCUGUGCCCCGGCGGAAAAUCACGGAAAAGUGCUUUAUAUAGCUUGUCCGUUUUGCUGAUAGCAGCAUCACGUGUCGAAGGUCCGAGUGGCCAGGUGAAAUUAUCGCGGCAGUCCAAAACCAGCAUCGGUGGCCGAUCGUCGGGACUG